This 918-nucleotide long non-coding RNA is filed under the name Rhinopithecus bieti (black snub-nosed monkey). Its description in RNAcentral is "lncRNA (ENSRBIG00000046492.1)". The record is from RNAcentral. Lineage: Eukaryota; Metazoa; Chordata; Mammalia; Primates; Cercopithecidae.
ACCCCGCAAAACAAGGCUGCCAUGUGUAAGCCGCUGAUGCAGAAUCGAGGCGUCUCCUGCAAGGUGGAGAUGAAGUCCAAAGGGAGUCAAACAGAAGAGUGGAAGCCACAGGUGAUUGUGCUGCCCAUCCCAGUGCCCAUCUUCGUGCCAGUGCCUAUGCAUCUGUACUGCCAGAAAGUCCCGGUGCCUUUCUCGAUGCCUAUCCCGGUGCCUGUGCCCAUGUUCUUGCCCACUACCUUGGAGAGCACAGACAAGAUUGUAGAGACCAUUGAGGAGCUGAAGGUGAAGAUCCCUUCCAACCCCUUGGAGGCCGACAUCCUGGCUAUGGCAGAAAUGAUUGCAGAGGCUGAGGAGUUAGACAAGGCCUCAUCUGACCUUUGUGGUAUGCCAUAGAUGGUGGCGAUGAGGGAGACAGGGUGCUACCAGCGUGUCUCUGCCCGAGGGGGAGCUAUUGAUGAUCUUGGUGCCUAGUAGAAUGGGAGGAUAGUUGGGAUCAGCCCCUGAAAGCUUGUGAGGGUGCUAGCAGGAGCUUGUAGCCACUGAGCCAACUUCUCUGCUUCCCAGAUCUUGUGAGCAACCAGAGUGCAGAGGGACUCCUGGAAGACUGUGACCUGUUUGGGCCUGCUCGAGAUGAUGUCCUGGCCAUGGCAGUCAAGAUGGCCAAUGUCUUGGAUGAGCCUGGGCAAGACUUGGAGGCAGACUUCCCUAAGAGUGAGUAAGAUUGGAGCCGUGCCCACUGGGUAUGGUAGCAUUCGUGCCAUCAGGAAGGGAAUGUUCCUUGUGUCCCUGAGUAUGACCCUGAAAAGUGUUCAUUGUGAUUCUAAGACAGAAGGUUCUCACAGGGAGCAGUGCCAGAGAUACCAGGACAGGUGCAUUCUUUUAGACUUCUGAGUCAUGCUUUUUUUUUUUUUUUUUUUU